This 1509-nucleotide ribosomal RNA is filed under the name Probreviceps macrodactylus (Usambara big-fingered frog). RNAcentral describes it as "partial 16S ribosomal RNA". It matches the Rfam family "Bacterial large subunit ribosomal RNA", at positions 330 to 2597 of the family's 2925-position model. The record is from RNAcentral. Lineage: Eukaryota; Metazoa; Chordata; Amphibia; Anura; Brevicipitidae.
UAAGCGUACCGGAAGGUGCGCUUGGCAUAAUCAAAGUGUAGCUAAAAAAGCGCCUCGCUUACUCCGAGCUAAUGUCUUCUAUUACAGACCUCUUUGAGCCCCAUACCUAGCCAACUAAUAGUAUAAACAAAAACCAUAAAACUUUUUAAAUAAAACAUUUAAAAGGUCUAGUAGACGUGAUCAAAAAACCUCUUUAGAGCUUUAAAAGAAGUACCGCAAGGGAACCCUGAAAUAUUCUUGAAACAAUCAAAAGCACAUAAAAGUAGAGCUAAAUCCUCGUACCUUUUGCAUCAUGGUCUAGUUAGUCUAACCAAGCAAAAUGAACUUACAGUUUGACCCCCCGAAACUAAGUGAGCUACUUCAAAACAGCCUACUGGGCCAACCCGUCUCUGUUGCAAAAGAGUGGGAUGAUUUUCAAGUAGAGGUGAUAAGCCUACCGAACUUAGAGAUAGCUGGUUAUUUAAGAAACGGAUCUAAGUCCAACCAAGAGCUAUCUACACACCACCAAGUCUUUAAAACAAGCUCUCGAGUCACUCAAAUAGGGUACAGCCUAUUUGAAACAGGAUACAACCUCAAACAUUGGGUAAUAUGCUAAUAAAACUACUAAGUGGGCCUAAAAGCAGCCACCUUCAAAAAAGCGUUAAAGCCUAAUUUUAUUAUUUUGUAAUACCAAAAUUUAACUAAAACCCUUUAUCUAUAUUAAAUGACUCCAUAAUUUUAUGGAAAUCAUAAUGCUAGAACUAGUAAUAAGAAGUAGCCCUUCUCCACAAUGUGAGUAUAAACCAGAACGAACACACACUGGAACCUAACGUUCUUGAACUUACCGCAAUAACCUACUAAGAAAAAACUGCUUAACAAACCGUUAACCUUACACUAGCACAUUUCUGGAAAGAUUAAAAGAGUAGGAAGGAACUCGGCAAACCAUAACCCCGCCUGUUUACCAAAAACAUCGCCUCCCGCCCAAUGAUGGGAGGUCCAGCCUGCCCAAUGAUACAUUGAAUGGCCGCGGUACUCUUACCGUGCGAAGGUAGCAUAAUCACUUGUUCAUUAAAUAUGGACUAGUAUGAACGGCAUCACGAGGGUCAUACUGUCUCCCUACUCCAAUCAAUGAAACUAUUUUUCCCGUGAAGAAACGGGAAUUAAACUAUAAGACGAGAAGACCCCAUGGAGCUUUAAACCCAGAACAUCUACCAACCCCCCCCCCAUUUUUACCUAACUAUAGUAUUCAUGUUUUCUGGUUUUUGGUUGGGGCGACCACGGAGCAAAAAAAAUCCUCCACGAUGAACAAGCUUUACUUUUACCCAUGAAGCACACUUCUAAGGACCCUUAAUAUGACAUUUCUUGACCCAAGCCUACUUGAUCAACGAACCUAGUUACCCUGGGGAUAACAGCGCAAUCCAUUUCAAGAGCCCAUAUCAACAAAUGGGUUUACGACCUCGAUGUUGGAUCAGGGUAUCCCAGUGGUGCACCCGCUACUAAAGGUUUGUUUGUUCAACAAUUAAUAACCCU